GGUGUGGCAAGUGAAACUUGUUUGAAAGCUUUGGAUAAUUGUGUUAUAUUCCAACGGGCAGUUAAAUAAAACUAACUACAAUUAAGUGAUCCACUCCCUGUAUAGUUUUUGGAAGUGAAGCAUACCAAAUGGUUGGUUUUUUAUGUAACGGGUAAUCUUGUAAGCUGUGCAAGCUGCCAAUUCCAAACAGUCAUAGAUUGCCCUGUUAAAUGACCUUAGCAUUCCAUCAUGCCAUUGUGUUGCUCAUUGAGAGAUCUUGCUCGUGGAACUUGCAACACAAAAGAUAAUAACCAAAAGGAAGGUUACUAAUGAUGUGCAUUCGUGGAAUCAAAAUGCCCCUGUCUCCUUCUGCCAUACAUUGCCCAGAUAUCAGUAUCAGUUUUGAUCUGAUAGAUGCAUUGUGUUCCACUUUGUUUUGUUAAAGACGGUUAACCACCACCUGCCAACACACAUUGACAUGGAUGUCAACACAAUCUCUUUUGGACUGCCAAGCCUUGGCCUUCUUCAGCAACAUUGGUUGCUCUACAAUUCUUGCAGUCUUCGCCAACAGUUAACCAUUUCGUCUUCUCCUUCAGUCCCACGCAAAAUUGGAAAUUAAAAUUCUAAGUUUUGCCUGUUUUCGCUUCAUGGUCCGUCUGCACCUCGCUCGUCGCAUCGUUUUCACCUUGGCCGUCGCACAAUCUUCGC
Daphnia carinata is the source of this 687-nucleotide long non-coding RNA. RefSeq lists it as uncharacterized. NCBI's taxonomy places the organism in Eukaryota, Metazoa, Arthropoda, Branchiopoda, Diplostraca, Daphniidae. The record is from RefSeq and is a predicted model, not a curated record. The transcript is spliced from 4 exons.